AACGAACGCUGGCGGCAUGCCUAACACAUGCAAGUCGAACGCGUGUAGCAAUACACGAGUGGCGGACGGGUGAGUAACGCGUGGGAACCUGCCCAAUGGUAGGGAAUAACUGCGGGAAACUGCAGCUAAUACCCUAUGCUCCCUACGGGGGAAAGAUUUAUCGCCAUUGGAGGGGCCCGCGUCGGAUUAGCUAGUUGGCGGGGUAACGGCCCACCAAGGCUACGAUCCGUAGCUGGUCUGAGAGGAUGAUCAGCCACACUGGGACUGAGAUACGGCCCAGACUCCUACGGGAGGCAGCAGUGGGGAAUAUUGGACAAUGGGGGAAACCCUGAUCCAGCAAUGCCGCGUGAGUGAAGAAGGCCUUAGGGUUGUAAAGCUCUUUCGGCGGGACGAUGGUGACGGUA
This 404-nucleotide ribosomal RNA is filed under the name uncultured bacterium. RNAcentral describes it as "bacterial SSU rRNA". It matches the Rfam family "Bacterial small subunit ribosomal RNA", at positions 29 to 477 of the family's 1533-position model. The record is from RNAcentral.